Molecule: long non-coding RNA, 1163 nt
Organism: Sapajus apella (tufted capuchin)
Lineage: Eukaryota; Metazoa; Chordata; Mammalia; Primates; Cebidae
Exons: 3
Source: RefSeq, a predicted model, not a curated record
GGAGGCGGCGAGCGGUCCUCGCGGAGAAGGCCCCUCCGCCACGCCCGCCUCCCGGCGGGUGCCUGGCACCCAGGCCAAGGCCUCUGGGCGUCCGAGGGUGCAGGGGCGACUGCAGGGGAUUGCUGGCCUUCACGAAGUGACCGCUGUAGGCAGCGCAGUCUCAGCCGCGGGUGCCCUUUCCAGGGUCACCGGAGCAGGACAGAGCUGGGGGCGGGGGCGGCGCGGCCGGUGGGAACGGUAGGCGUGAGUGGGGCGUGGGUGGAAGCGGGACGCCCCCAUCCCCUUCUCCAGGCAGCUGGGUGGGACCUAGGCUGCCCGCACCUGGCCCGCCCUCAGGGCCAGAUCCUGGGUUUCCACCUGCCAGGCCUCUCCUCGCCCACCUCUCUUCCCGACAACCCACACAGCUCCCAGCUGCCUUCCCCCAGCCAGAGCCCUCUUUGCACAGUGAUAACCAGACCAGGUCGCUCCCUCAAGGUUUCCACCGUCCUUGCCUGCUCUGACCUGGGCUGACCCCACCUCUCCAGUUUGAUUUCGUUUGUCGUAAUUACAGUUUGGUGGUUUCUUCUUGAGAAGGGGGUCUCUGAUACCUGGGCUGGAGUGCAGUGUCACGACCAUGGCUCCCUGCAGCCUCGAAUUCCUGGACUCAAGCGAUCCUCCCAGCUCAGCCUCCCGGAUAGCCGGGACUACAGGAAGACCCAAGGGAAAGGAGUGAGGGUGUCUGGAAGCAGGCUGGGGGCCACCCCUCCACAGGAGAGAGGUCUGGCUCCUCUGGCAAACCCUGCAGCCCCAGGCAGGCUCCCAGCAGGCGUGGGACUGAAGACUGGGGAAGCAUCCUUCCCGACUCUGGGAAUCUGGUCUUCCCUGGCAAAUCCUGGGCAACCCCACAACCCUUCUCUGUCACAGUGGCCCUGGGGUCAGCAAGCCACUGUGAGGCCAGUGAUGCCUUUCCACUCCAGCCUUGUCAACAGAAAAGACGGAAUUAUGAGUGGACAGAUGAAGAAUGCUGAGUUACUAUUCGUCUCCUGAUCCUUCCCUCCUGAUGACGAAGACUGAAGGUGUAGACUCAGACUCACUCUUUACAAGAGCCAGGUGAGAAUUUCAAGGAUUAUCAACUUUGUAUUGUACGUUUAAGUUACAAAUUAAAGUGGCUUGGUCAAGAAUGA